GGGACCUAAAAAGUUGCAUUUUUCAUAACUGUUCCUGGUUAGGUGUAAUAAAAAUAAAAUUUAAAAUAUAUAUUAUAGAUAUUAUUGUCAAAUUAGUCUCCCAGAAUGGAGGAAUUUCCAAUUCCUAUAGAGGGAAACCCGAAAUUAGCAAACUUUAUAUAUACUGGAUAGAUCGAUCAGUUCUGAACUGUUCUUCCAAGAGAUCCAGUAAGGCUUUAUCCCUUGACGCCGCGAGGACUAUAAACCCCAUUUAAUUAUACUGCAUAAUUCCAUCAGCUCUAGACGAUUUCAAUGUCGAGGUCCAAUAUAAGUCAACCUGUAUUGAUCCAGCAUUGCUACCGGCGGAAACUGGAAUAUCCUGAGAAACCGGUGUUUCGAGAAUAAACGCUUCUCACAUGAGAAUGAAAAUAAAUAUAAUCGCGACAACUGCAUUGCAGGGUCAAAUCCCGUUCACAGAGAUGAAAGAGAUAUGCACUAAUCUAAUGGAAU
Non-coding RNA from Paramuricea clavata, 489 nucleotides. Lineage: Eukaryota; Metazoa; Cnidaria; Anthozoa; Malacalcyonacea; Plexauridae. The record is from the annotation of a GenBank genome assembly.